This is a long non-coding RNA of Ornithodoros turicata, 1936 nucleotides long. RefSeq lists it as uncharacterized. The record is from RefSeq and is a predicted model, not a curated record. Lineage: Eukaryota; Metazoa; Arthropoda; Arachnida; Ixodida; Argasidae. The transcript is spliced from 3 exons.
CUUUUCACUGAUCCAAAGGAGGUCACGUGGGAUCUUGCGAAAUUAACAGCAAUGAAAAUGGCGAAACGAAACUUGUGAAUCGUGCAUUUGCUCUUCAUGGUAGCUGCCAGAAAAUCGAAUCAAACUUACGGGACACUGGAUUACAGGUUGCUGCCACUACUCCAUGUGCCCGCAAUUGUCUUGCGUGUAUGAUUACACUAACGGCGUCGCCCACCACGGCGGAAGUGUUUUGCGUACACGCGUUUCAGCAUGAAGCCUGCAGGUGGACGUAAAUUGUAGAAGGCAGCUAGUGGGGGAGAAGAUCAUGGUCAUAGGUCAUGUGACUCCUGGAGCUCCCAGUGGGCUCCCUUGUAGAGUACUUUUCAGAACACACACACACACACAGUUUGCUCACAGAACCGACGAGUAGGAUGUUGCUUGAAUACUGAGAGAAAAUGGCGUAACACAUACAAAUAUCGUGUGACACAUAUGACAAUAAAAACAUUUUUCACGAGGGAUGCAUGAAACACUGUCGCAAUAUUGUGUGCAUGAACCAUUGUGUGUGACACAAGCCGUGGGGGCACACCGCCUCGGACACAUUUUGGGAAGCAUAAAACACAGUAUAUACAGAGCUACUAUGGUGGAUGCUUCUUUUUUCUUUUUGGCCGUUAUGAGACAUCUUCGGCCGUAAUGAGACUACCUUCGGCCGUAUUGAGACUUUGGCCGUAACGAGACACUUGGGGAUUAAAGGAUUUUCGGCCGUAAUGAGACUUUCGGCCGUAAUGAGACUUCGGCCGUAAUGAGACUCGGGCCGUAAUGAGAUGUUGGCCUCUAAUGUUAUUUCAACCAUACCGUAACAACUGUAGAUCGCGAACGUGUAAAAAACGUUGAGUCAACACUAAGAUUUCAACCGUAGAUAUAUCCAACAAAUACCCAACGUUGCCUUCUGCAUUCUACCUAACACAUUCUCAACGUCGGACAAAACUUGGAACGGAAAUACCAGAUUUUAACGUGUUUGUGAAUUUUGCUGGCAACGGUGAAAUUGGUUAUGAUGGUUAUGACGAGUUAUGAUGAUUAUUUACCAGUGGUUAAUGCUGUUGGUUUAUAACCCAAAUUGAUGUCAGCUGCUAUUAUAUUUAUCUUCCCUUGUCUACAACCUUGGAAAGUGAAAAAAACAAAGCGGUACCAGAUUUGACGGAGGAAAGAGAACAAAUUCAUGGCGGUGCAUUUGUGGGGAAAAAAGGCUUACGUGCCGUGUCGAGAGAAACAGAUUGACGGACGUUAUGACGGUAUCACAACAUUCAGAAACAACUUCUGCGGAAGGACACCGCUGCCGAAAAUGCAAGUAUGUCUGCGAGAAAGACGAGAGCUUCACAAAUUUGACAUCCGUGGGAGAGUUGUGAGUCCCUUAAGCUGCCAUACUCGGUGAAAAAAUAAAUAAAUAACGGACCCGGCUUAUCGGGUUAACGAUAAAAAAAAAGCCGACCCAUGCAAGGGACAUUAGAUAUGAACCUGUGAGAUGAUUAGGAAACAAGUGACAUGGUUUACUGCAUUUCACGUCGAAUCAAAGUAGUACUCAAGGAAAAUAACAGUGUGACACCCAAUGUUAAUAAAGAAAGUGUGAUUUCACACCCCUUUCCAUUGUUCAUAUCGCGCGUGAAAAAUAUUGGGAUAUUUAGCCAAUUUUCUUGGUGGAUCUGUAAUGUGUGGCAUCUCAGGAGCCUCGCUAUUAUAGCGGCAGACUGAACACAGCAAAACACUUUUUUCAUGAUUUUGCUCCUCUGAAUCCUGUAUUUGCUGAUACAGCUGGGAUUGCUAAUAUAAUCAAUUCACUUACUCUACGUGCGCUGCCUUCGAUGGUAUUACACAAAGUUAUGAAAACUGUUAACACCCACGUUCAAACUUGUGCUUUUAUUUGUGUUUCAUAAGCAAUAAAAUAAAAGUGUAUUUGUAUGUA